GUGGUAUACGAUGGAUCCGCGUCUGAUUAGCUAGUUGGCGGGGUAAAGGCCCACCAAGGCGACGAUCAGUAGCCGGCCUGAGAGGGUGAACGGCCACAUUGGGACUGAGACACGGCCCAAACUCCUACGGGAGGCAGCAGUGGGGAAUAUUGCACAAUGGGGGAAACCCUGAUGCAGCGACGCCGCGUGAGUGAAGAAGUAUUUCGGUACGUAAAGCUCUAUCAGCAGGGAAGAAAAUGACGGUACCUGACUAAGAAGCCCCGGCUAACUACGUGCCAGCAGCCGCGGUAAUACGUAGGGGGCAAGCGUUAUCCGGAUUUACUGGGUGUAAAGGGAGCGUAGACGGCAGCGCAAGUCUGGAGUGAAAUCCCAUGGCUUAACCAUGGAACUGCUUUGGAAACUGUGCAGCUAGAGUGCAGGAGAGGUAAGCGGAAUUCCUAGUGUAGCGGUGAAAUGCGUAGAUAUUAGGAGGAACACCAGUGGCGAAGGCGGCUUACUGGACUGUAACUGACGUUGAGGCUCGAAAGCGUGGGGAGCAAACAGGAUUAGAUACCCUGGUAGUCCACGCUGUAAACGAUGAUUACUAGGUGUUGGGGGACCAAGGUCCUUCG
Molecule: ribosomal RNA, 611 nt
Filed under: uncultured bacterium
Lineage: Bacteria
Description: bacterial SSU rRNA
Rfam family: Bacterial small subunit ribosomal RNA
Source: RNAcentral